UGAAAGCCUGACGGAGCACGCCGCGUGAGGGAUGAAGGCCUCUGGGCUGUAAACCUCUUUUCUCAAGGAAGAAGAUCUGACGGUACUUGAGGAAUAAGCCACGGCUAAUUCCGUGCCAGCAGCCGCGGUAAUACGGGAGUGGCAAGCGUUAUCCGGAAUUAUUGGGCGUAAAGCGUCCGCAGGCGGUUCUGUAAGUCUGCCGUUAAAGCGUGGAGCUUAACUCCAUUUCGGCGGUGGAAACUGCAGGACUUGAGUGUGGUAGGGGCAGAGGGAAUUCCCGGUGUAGUGGUGAAAUGCGUAGAUAUCGGGAAGAACACCAGUGGCGAAAGCGCUCUGCUGGGCCAUAACUGACGCUCAUGGACGAAAGCCAGGGGAGCG
Molecule: ribosomal RNA, 378 nt
Filed under: uncultured cyanobacterium
Lineage: Bacteria; Bacillati; Cyanobacteriota
Description: bacterial SSU rRNA
Rfam family: Bacterial small subunit ribosomal RNA
Source: RNAcentral